UACGAAGGGGGCGAGCGUUGUUCGGAUUUACUGGGCGUAAAGGGCGCGCAGGCGGCUUAUUUUGUCAAGCGUGAAAGCCCCGGGCUUAACCUGGGAACUGCGUUUGAUACGGAUGGGCUAGAGUUCGGGAGAGGAGAGUGGAAUUCCCAGUGUAGAGGUGAAAUUCGUAGAUAUUGGGAAGAACACCGGUGGCGAAGGCGGCUCUCUGGACCGAGACUGACGCUGAGGCGCGAAAGCGUGGGGAGCAAACAGG
Molecule: ribosomal RNA, 253 nt
Filed under: uncultured bacterium
Lineage: Bacteria
Description: partial 16S ribosomal RNA
Rfam family: Bacterial small subunit ribosomal RNA
Source: RNAcentral